This 380-nucleotide ribosomal RNA is filed under the name uncultured eukaryote. RNAcentral describes it as "SSU rRNA". It matches the Rfam family "Eukaryotic small subunit ribosomal RNA", at positions 587 to 972 of the family's 1831-position model. The record is from RNAcentral.
AGCUCCAAUAGCGUAUAUUAAAGUUGUUGCAGUUAAAAAGCUCGUAGUUGAACUUCGAACCUGGUUAGGUGGUCUGCCUUACGGUACGUACUGCUCGGCCGGGUUCUACCUCUUGGUGAGCCGGCAUGUCCUUCACUGGGUGUGUCGGGGAACCAGGACUUUUACCUUGAGAAAAUUAGAGUGUUCAAAGCAGGCCUUUGCCCGAAUACAUUAGCAUGGCAUAAUAAAAUAGGACGUGCGGUUCUAUUUUGUUGGUUUCUAGAGUCGCCGUAAUGAUUAAUAGGGAUAGUUGGGGGCAUUUGUAUUCCGUUGCUAGAGGUGAAAUUCUUGGAUUUACGGAAGACAAACUUCUGCGAAAGCAUUUGCCAAGGAUGUUUUCA